GCCGGUGGCGGGUGCUAUAAUGCAAGUCGAGCGGACAGAAGGGAGCUUGCUCCCGGAUGUUAGCGGCGGACGGGUGAGUAACACGUGGGUAACCUGCCUGUAAGACUGGGAUAACUCCGGGAAACCGGAGCUAAUACCGGAUAGUUCCUUGAACCGCAUGGUUCAAGGAUGAAAGACGGUUUCGGCUGUCACUUACAGAUGGACCCGCGGCGCAUUAGCUAGUUGGUGAGGUAACGGCUCACCAAGGCGACGAUGCGUAGCCGACCUGAGAGGGUGAUCGGCCACACUGGGACUGAGACACGGCCCAGACUCCUACGGGAGGCAGCAGUAGGGAAUCUUCCGCAAUGGACGAAAGUCUGACGGAGCAACGCCGCGUGAGUGAUGAAGGUUUUCGGAUCGUAAAGCUCUGUUGUUAGGGAAGAACAAGUGCAAGAGUAACUGCUUGCACCUUGACGGUACCUAACCAGAAAGCCACGGCUAACUACGUGCCAGCAGCCGCGGUAAUACGUAGGUGGCAAGCGUUGUCCGGAAUUAUUGGGCGUAAAGGGCUCGCAGGCGGUUUCUUAAGUCUGAUGUGAAAGCCCCCGGCUCAACCGGGGAGGGUCAUUGGAAACUGGGAAACUUGAGUGCAGAAGAGGAGAGUGGAAUUCCACGUGUAGCGGUGAAAUGCGUAGAGAUGUGGAGGAACACCAGUGGCGAAGGCGACUCUCUGGUCUGUAACUGACGCUGAGGAGCGAAAGCGUGGGGAGCGAACAGGAUUAGAUACCCUGGUAGUCCACGCCGUAAACGAUGAGUGCUAAGUGUUAGGGGUUUCCGCCCCUUAGUGCUGCAGCUAACGCAUUAAGCACUCCGCCUGGGGAGUACGGUCGCAAGACUGAAACCCAAAGGAAUUGACGGGGGCCCGCACAAGCGGUGGAGCAUGUGGUUUAAUUCGAAGCAACGCCGAAGAACCUUACCAGUCUUGACAUCCUCUGACAACCCUAGAAGAUAGGGCUUUCCCUUCGGGGACAGAGUGACAGGUGGUGCAUGGAUGUCGUCAGCCUCCGUGUCGUGAGAAUG
This 1059-nucleotide ribosomal RNA is filed under the name Bacillus subtilis. RNAcentral describes it as "bacterial SSU rRNA". It matches the Rfam family "Bacterial small subunit ribosomal RNA", at positions 35 to 1074 of the family's 1533-position model. The record is from RNAcentral. Lineage: Bacteria; Bacillati; Bacillota; Bacilli; Caryophanales; Bacillaceae.